RNAcentral lists this long non-coding RNA (20227 nucleotides) under Glycine max (soybean). RNAcentral describes it as "long non-coding RNA (GMAX_LNC003278)". Lineage: Eukaryota; Viridiplantae; Streptophyta; Magnoliopsida; Fabales; Fabaceae. The record is from RNAcentral.
AGAUGUGCCAGCACUCUAUCAUUCAUAUAUGUAAGGGCUAUAAUUUUUCUGUUUCGAUUCAUGAGUGAAUGUUGGAUAAGUAACAAUAGCAAUAGACUGAACUCUCUUCAUCAUAGUUGUGUUGUUGGAACAGUACUGUCAAUAAAGGAAAAAAAAAAGAUCUGAGGAUAAGUAUAGUUUGCGUGGUAUAUAUAGCAGGUGAAGAAGAAAAGGAACACGUGGUUAAAGAGCACCGUGAGAGUUUAGCAAUUACUUUUUUUUUUGGUAACUGAAUUUGCCUUGUAUUAGAUUUGUGAAGAACUAAGUUUGUGAGAGUUGUUAUUGAAUAAGAUUGUUUCUAAAGGGUUUGAUAAAGGUAUAAUGGUUUAUUUAAAUACAUUUCACUAUUUUAGUAUUUUAAGUAAGUUCAUAAUGAUGUGAUUAUGUGUCAUGUCAAUAAAAAUACAUCAUUAAUCUCAUCUUAAUAAUAAUAUCAUGCCAACAAUGAAAUUAAUGACAAUAAAAUAAAAUAAUUUUUUUUUAUGAAAACUUAAAAUAGAUAAAAUAAAUAUUACAGAACCUAAAAAUGAAAAGAAAUUAUAAGAAUUAAAAAAAAUAGAAUUUGCUUAUGUCUUUAACUAUCACUUAAAGUUGUUUAUAAUUUUUAUUUUAAAUAUUGGGUUGGACAAAAGAAAUGAUCAUUGUAUUCAUGUUAAGAAUAAAUAAAACAAAACAUAGUGGUAAAAAAAUAUAACAAAUUAAAUCCUAUAAUUUUUCUUUUGGAUGAAGUAUGAAUAUAAAAAGUAAGAGAGACAAAGUUGAAGACAUCAUCAAAGAAUUUUUCAUAAAUUUCUCUAUGAUGACUUCAGGAUAAAAAUCUCAUAUUUGACUUCAAAACACUUGAACACAUAUCCUAAUUAGCUAAAGUAUCAAUCACAUGAUUAGAAUCAUGUGACAUAAUUGCAAGUAACAAAGUUUAAAUGUUUCUCACUAACGCUAUUAAAUAAAAUAAGAUUAAUUGAAAUUUAUUUGUAUUUGAAGUCAAGACACAGAUAUAAUUUUUUGCUUGCAUUCGAAAUGAAAGAAAGCAAGGUCGUCUAAACUCUUAAAGAAAAUGGUUGGAGGUAGACAGAGGUGAAUGCACAUAUAAGCUUGUUCCCACCGUAUGAAUUUUUAUACUUGAAUAUAAUACUCCUAUUCAUAUGGACAUAGAUGCAAAAGUUUGAGAUGAGGAAGGUCACAAGCUUGGAUAGGUUUGGAAGAUAAAUGGUUUGUGAGAAUAUAUAAAUACUAAAUCAAAACAUAUUAUUGGAAGACAGUUGAAGGACUGGCGUUGGAGUAGUUAGUGCAGUGGAAAUAAAUGCUAUUAUUGGAGGACGGUUGAAGGAUUAGCGUACAUGGGGCUAGUUAUUGCGGUGGGAAUAAAUGCUAAAUUAAAACAUAUUAUUGGUGGAAAUUAGCGAUGGAAAUGAGUCAAGCUGCUUGUCAAGGACCUUUUGCUCGGUCUAUUUAAGGCUUGGUUCGGCUUGGCUUGUUUACUAUAAAGAUCAAGCUCAAGCUUUUUAAAAACUUUUUUAGAUAAAAAGGUCAAAGUCAAAUUAUAAAAAAAAGUUUGUUAAGCUUGACAAACCGGCUUGUUUAAGUAAUAAUAAUAAUAUUAAUAAUAAUAAUAACUAUUAUCUAUAUCAUUUUUAUGGCAUUAUGAAUGAUAGGAUGAAGUGACAUAAAGUGUUUAGAGAGUUCACUUGCAUGUGAAAAAUUUUCAAAAAGAAAAAGACUCAAGUUAAAAGGAUAAAGCAAUCAGAUUAAUACUUAAAAAAAAAGGAUGCUUUGUAAAAACAUUUUCACACAAUUUAAAUAUUUUUACUUGAUUAUCUUAUUAUAAAUCAUCUCUAAUCCAUAUAUUUUUUAAUAUUAUGCUCUCUUUUUUCAUUUUCUUUUGAUAUACUCCGUGUUUUAACAACUUGAAUUCAAUAUGAUUUUGUUUAUCAAUUAUUUUUGGAUUUGUACAUUACUUAUACUAAAUUUUAUAAGUUUCUUUUUUUAGUUAGUAUUUCACUAUGUUUUAGAAUAAUUAUUUGGUCAAUGACGUCUUUAAGCAUGCUUUUAAAUAGGCUCGUAGGCCAAGUCAGGCUUUUUUGUGAGUCGAGCCGAGCCUUUAAAAAAAAUCGUAUGACAGGUAAUGAGCGAAACUCAAGUUUUGCGUAUUCAACUCAAGCCUAGUAAAUCUUGGCUUGACUUAGCUCAUUUCCACCCCUAGUGGGAAUAGGGGCCAACUUUUAAUUUUACUACAAGCACUUUAAUUAGUAGGGGUGGGUAAGCGGGCUGGCCCGCCCCACGUAAGGCUCGUCCGCAUAAGCCCGCAUUGGUAGUGGAUCGGGCCAGCCCGUCCCGCAUUCAUACACGGACCAAAUAAAUUGGUUCGCCCCUGCCCCGUGGACCCCGCGGGUCAAACGGGUUGGUACGCGGGCCUAAUUUUAAAAGAAUUUCAAUUUCAAUAAAAAUACAACACGAUCAAAUUAAGUUCAAUACAAAUGUAAAUAAAAUCUUAACAAUUAGUCAAUUACAUCAAUAAAAUAAAUAAUGUAUUAACAAAAGAAAAUCCAAACAAUAAAUUUAAAAUAUGAAACUUAAACAUCUCUAACAACAAAUGAUUUCAUAGUUGAAACAAUAAAAUCCUAAUGGGGGCAACCCAUAGACCCCGCGGGCCAAACCCACAUAGUCCGCGGAUUAAGCAGAACGAACCCAAAAAUAUGACAUAACCAUGAACCGUUUAAAAAAAUUAAUUUAUUACCCGCGCGAACUGCGGUACAGUCCAUGGACCUGAACCUAUUUAUCCACCCCUAUUAAUUACAGUCCAUGUUUCUAAUUGCGGUCCCAAACUUUCCAAAAAUUACGAUCACCAACUAUUUUUAAAAACCUAGCUACAGAGGAUAAAGUCCUUGCUUAAACAUCUUCUCGGGUUUUUUUACCAAAUUACAUAUUCUCUCUCCAUUCUUUUCCUAAAAUACACUACUUUGGCCUUUUAUUCCCAAAGUACACCUGUUUUGGCCACUUCACGGAAGUCGGGUUCUCACACCUCGACUUUCGUUCUUCCUUUUUUUUUUUAUAAAAAAGUUUUUGUAUUAUUAAAAUUAAAUAUUAUAUUAUAUAAAAUUAUUUUUAAAUAAUUUGAAAAUUAUUUAUUUAUUAAAUUAAUUUAUGUAAUAUUAUUUUAUAAUUUAAUUUUGUUAUUAAAAAAAUGAUAUUAUUAAAUUUAAGUGUUUUUGUUAUAUUAUUUAAAUUAUUUAAGAUAUUUUUUGGUGAAUAUAUAUUUUAAAAUCUGAAUUUUGUAUAAUAAUAUAUUUAUUUUAGUAAAUAUUUAUUUUGUAUAAUAAUCUGAAUUUUAAAAUUUUUAAUUUAACUAUUUUAUUAAAUAUAAUUAGUUUGUUUAUGUUAUUAGAUUUAAUUAAAAAUGAUAAAACUAAAGCUUUUAACAAUUUAUUUAUAUAAGAACAUUAUACUACGUCAUCAAUAAAAUAUUUAAACAAUGACAUUUGUCUAAGGAAAAACUAAGAUGAGGAUACAUUAGGACAAUUAUUUCUGCUAUGACCAUGUUGCCGGCAAAGUCCACAUUUUUUUCUACUUGCUCGUUCAUUUUCGUCUUCGUCCAUCUCAGUAGGAAUGCGAGUUGAAACGGGACGACCCUUUGCAGUCCUCUUUCUCCUUGGAUCAGGACCCCACUGAUCUCCUUCAUAUUCUUGCCACAUUGAUUCGUGUGGCAAUAAACCAAAGGAGUUGUCGUAGAUGUGCAAAAUGUGUUGUAAAGUGAAUAUCAUCGGCACAUAGGUCAUGGGAUCAACAUUGACAGAUUUACAGGCAGCCAUGACGUGAGAACACGGUAAAUGUUUAUCCUGAAAUUCACCACAAUCACACUUUUGGGAUUGUAACAUUACUCUAAACCUUCCAGGUGGUCUGGGUGUUUCAAGUGGGGAUUGAGUCUCGGUUAUAAUAAAAGUGUGAUUGUGUCUGUCGAAUUCAUUUACAAUGUGUGUAUUAGAUUCUUGUUGACCACUAUUGAUUGCAUCGAAGAAGACUUCAGAAUACUGUGAGCCGGAGUUGAUCAUUUCCUGAGUUUGUCGACCUCUAUUAGCAAAGAGUUGUGCGGUCUUGAAAUAGGUCUCCUCAACCAAUGAUGACACCAGCAAAUGUCUUGUGUUUUUUAACAUGAAAUUAACAGACUCCGACAAAUUGGUAGUCAUAUGUCCCCAACGUUUCCCCUCAUCAAAGCAUUGUACCCAUUUUUGUUUGGGUAAUUGAUCAAGCCAUUCAGCUGCACUUGGCUUAUUCGCACGAAUAUCCCCAAGAUGUCGCCAGUGCAUCUUCUCCGUGUAUGCGUACCCUGUAAAUAUUUAAUCAAUGUAUUAUGUUAUAAAAUUUGAUUGAAAGAAAAUUAUAACGAAUAAAUAAAAUAGAUUUUCACCAGCCAACAUAAGUGGUUUCUUUAAAUGUUUGCAGUUUGAGUUACCACGAAGAAAGUUUUGUGCAAUGUGGCACAGGCAAAAGAAAUGGGAUGUGUCCUGGACCCAUAAGUUACUUGGGUUGUUGUAGGCACUUAUAAUUGAGGAGUGUCGGUCUGAAAUAAGAGAAAUGUUAAUUUGCGGAGUAACAUGUCUUCUCAAAUUCUUUAGAAAAAACCUCCAAGCUGAAGUUGUCUCCCCUUCUACAAUGGCAUAGGCAAUCGGGAAGAUAUGGUUAGCUCCAUCUUGUGCGGUAGCUAUCAACAGUGUGCCAGUAUACUUUCCAUAAAGCCAUGUACCAUCUACUUGUACAAUGGGUUUGCAAUAUGCAAAACCAUUAAUGCAUGGACCAAAUGACCAAAAGACACGUUUAAACAAUCUUUUGCUCGGUACUAUUUCUCCCCCCUCAUACAAGGAUUCUGUUUGAGCAGCGACCACAGUCCCGGGAACACAAGAUUGCAAAGCUCCGAAAAGUUUUGGCAGUUUGGCAUAUGAUUCUUCCCAGUUUCCAUGAAUCAUCUCCAAUGCUUUUUGCUUUGCUAACCAUGUCUUCUUGUAGGAUGGGGUAUAAUUCAUGAACGUUUUGAUCUCUGCAAUCAAUGUCUUGAUGAAGACAGUUGGGUUUGUUUUGACAAUUGGUUGGAUGAUCUGUGUUAUGACGUGUUUGUCGAGUUGGCGAUGAUCUUGUCUAAGCAUCGGCACGAGACAAGUGUGAUGACCUCUGAUACUCUUGAUAAUCCAUUUGUUAUGCCUCUUUGAAUUGCAUGCGCCCAAGCUCCAUGUACAACCAUUUUCAUGUAACUUGCAGACGAAGUGUAGCCUUCUUUGGUCAGAGUAAAUUGUUCUGCAAUCAAAAUGAUUUCUGAUGUUGUAUUCUUUGAUUGCUCGAAUACAUUGUGAUUUGUCAUCGAAUGUCAUGCCAACCUCGAGUACACCGACUGGUGGUUGCACAUUGUGUUGCUGAUAAACAAAAUGGGGUCGAUCAAUAUAGUGUAGUAGGUGGUCAAAGUUCAAGUCUACUGGACACCUAGGUUGCUGAUAUUGCAACAGAGGUGACGGAGGUGUCGUUGGUCUGCCAACACCCUCGUCAUCGAUUUGGUCAUCACUUUGGUCAUCGCUUUGCUGAUUGAUGUGAUCAAAGAACUGUUGAUCCUCAUCCUCAGUAAAAUCAUCCAUGUUUUCAUGAUGAAAUCGUAUAAUGGGAUCUUCGUUAGCAAUAGGAUGUUCAUCUCGGUUUGAUAUUUGCGUUUGUGGUAGCUGUGAAGGUGGCGUAAAGGGGGAUGAAGGAUGGUUUUGUUGGUCAAAGGAGGUUUGUUGGCCAUGAAAAAAGGAAUCAUUCUCGGAUAAUAUUUGUGUGUAUGAAGUAUAAAUGUCAAAGGGGUCUUGUGAUUCAAGGUUGUUGUAUGAAGAUACUGGAUUAUUGAGGUCUAUGUUGUUGUACGGUAACUGUUGUGGAGGCAGUAGUUGUAGUUGUGGACAUGAGGGUUGUGGAGACGAUGGUUGUGGUUGAGAAAUAAGCUCAGUAACAGCAUAGAAUUCGGCAGAAUUCAAUUGUGGAUUCUGGAUAAUUGUUUCCAUCGCGCCUCUAAGAUCAUCAUUGUCGAAUAGUUGAGCCGAAAUAAAACGUGUCUGACCGAGAUGAAUUGAAAUAGGGACACGAAAUAACAAUUGAGCAACUUGUUCAGUUGCUCGAGUAGAAAGACGAUUGUUAAUUUUUCGAAUGAAUUGUGUAAACGUAAUAGAACGACUGGCGUAAAAAAAUAUUGGGGUCGUACAUUGGUACGUCGAUCCUUGAACGGGAUCAUCUACAAUGUGACCACUGUGGUAAAUGAGGGUCGGAAUUUCUUUAGGUGGAGCCAUGGUGGUGCUUAUGGGAUAUGAGUGGAAAUGGUGUGAGAGUUACAAAUCGAGUUUUGUUUUGUGAGAAAAUUGUUGUGUGUGAUAUGUUGUUGUCAAAUGGUGAUAUUAUAUAUAGGCUGAGAAAGUUUAGUACUAGAGUUAGAUUGUAAUGUUAGGUGGGAGAGUUAGAUUGGAAGGUUAGGUUGGGAGAGUUAGUUACGAGGGUUAGAUGGGAGUGUUAGAUUGGAAGGUUAGAUGAAAGAGUUAGAUUGGAAGGUUAGGUGGGAGAGUUAGUUACGAGGGUUAGAUGGGAGGGUUAGGUGAGAGUGUUAGAUUGGAAGGUUAGGUAAGAUAGUUAGAUCGAAAGGAUAGAUGGGAGGGUUAGGCAGCAAAGUUAGUUACGACGGUUAGGUAGGAGAGUUAGGUAGGACAUUAAGUGCAUGUGAGUAAUUUAGUGUACACAUGUGAGUGAACAGUAUGCAACCUCACACAUUAAUAUACAUGACAGACUGUUCGUUUAAUCAUGAUUGUUGACCGCAGUGUUCUGUAUCGCAUGCCAAGGUCACAUGGAUUGUUCAGAAACAUGUUAAUGGGAUAAACAUACGCAUGUGAGUGAACAGUGUGCAACACCAAACUUCAAAGCAUCUCUGAAAUGAUGCAUAUGUAGACUAUUAUUACUGAAGUAAAUUAAAAAUAACAACUUCAAAGCAUACAACAACUACAACUAGAUAAUAAAGACGGAGAAAAACUUCAAUGCAAUACAACAACAAAAUAUGUUAAAUUAUUCAUUCUAAUUUCAUGGUAUUCUCCAGCUUCUGCUCCAUGUCAGCCCAACUUAGGUCAUUAACUUGAGUAGGUGAUAAUGAAUUAUGAACAUCAACUUUAAGUUCCAUACAUAUUACACUUCUCAUAUUGAGAAAUGUAUGAAACAUGCAUGAGACACCUUCUUCGUCAAUAAUUUGAAUUGCCCUAUAUUGAACUUCACCAUUUAAUUGAUAUAUAGGACAACGAUACCAAAGGGUAUUAAUUAUAGGCGUAACACCAUUAUCUGUAAUUGAUGACUGUAUUGCAGUGAUUAUAUUUGGCAGCGUCAUUGUUGGAUUCAAGAGUAACGACUUUGUGUUGUCACCUCUGAAAAUUGCAUUUGCACUUGAACUUUGAAUGAUUUCACCAUUGAUAUAAACGUACACACAAAUAGGCUUUGACCUCAUUGCUAGCCCUCUCUGUUUUCUCUCACAAUUUGAUUAGACACAACAGUGCAAAGUAUUAGGUGACAUGGUAGGUUUAUAUAUGCAAUCAAUCACGGGUCCAUGGUUCACGUGAAUUAGAAUCUCGAUGCAUCACAGUAACACAGUCGUGUUAAUGUGCUUUGGAAUCUCGAGGCCUUACAACGAGACAAAAUAUAAAUGUGGUUUGGAAUCUCGAGGCAUUACAAUUACAUUAAGUGUAAUGUUGAGGCCAUGCGAAAUGUUGAGAACAAAGCUAAUGCGGUUAUCGUACGCAUGUGGGUGAAUAGUGUGCAUGAAAAUGUCAUUGGUUCACGUGCAUUAGAAUCUCGAUGCGUGACAGUACCACAAUUGAUGCUAAUGUGCUUUGGAAUCUCGAGGCCUUGCAACGAGACAAUUUAUAAAUGUGCUUUGGAUUCUCGAGACAUUUACAAUUACCUUAUCGUACGCAUGUGGGUAAAUAGUGUGCACGAAAAUAUCAUUGGUUCACGUGCAUUAGAAUCUCGAUGCGUGACAGUACCACAGUUGAUGUUAAUGUGCUUUGGAAUCUCGAGGCCUUGCAACGAGACAAUUUAUAAAUGUGCUUUGGAUUCUCGAGACAUUUACAAUUACCUUAUCGUACGCAUGUGGGUGAAUAGUGUGCACGAAAAUGUCAUUGGUUCACGUGCAUUAGAAUCUCGAUGCAUGACAGUACCACAGUUGAUGUUAAUGUGCUUUGGAAUCUCGAGGCCUUGCAACGAGACAAUUUAUAAAUGUGCUUUGGAUUCUCGAGACAUUUACAAUUACCUUAACGUACACAUGCGGGUGAACAGUGUGCACAAAAUUUUAGUGAUUCACGUGAAUUAGAAUCUCGAUGCACCACAGUACCAUAGUCAUGUUAACGUGCUUUGGAAUCUCGAGGCCUUGCAACGAGACAAAUUAUAAAUGUGCUUUGGAAUCUCGAGGCAUUACAGUUAUCUUAAGUGUAUUUGUGCUUGCAAAACCGAACAUAGUGUAAAUAAUAAAUAGAUGAGAGGUGCAUGUCAAUACCACAUGUGCAUCACCCAACUUCAAAUUUUAUAUCAUUUGUAUUCGGUUUACCAUUUGACAUCAUUCUCAUGGAUGAUAAACCUCUAUUGCGUCAUCGACAUGUUCAUCUUUCACGUACUACGAUUAAUGAGUUAAUCACUUCCUAUUACCAUACAAUACCUGAACCAGAACCACAAAUUAUACCAUUAUUAUCAUCUACCGGGUUCCAACAUAUUGCCUUAAUCAAACAGUGUAAAAUUGAUCCUGCAUUGAUCACUGCAUUGGUUGAACGAUGGAGGCCUGAAACACAUACCUUUCACCAGCCAUGGGGAGAGUGCACCAUCACACUCGAAGAUGUUGCACUUUGUAACAUCCCAUUUUUUCAUAAAUAAAUUUAAGAAUUUUUUAGUAAAAAUAAUAAAAAUAAAUAAAUAGAGUAAAUAAUAGGUCGUAAAUGCCCCUAGUUAUAAAUAACAACAUGCUAGGUUUUUCAGACAGACUCCUCAGCCUUCUUUGCCUCUCAUUUUCGUUUUUCUCCUUCUCCUCUCAAAACCCUUUCUUUUUCCCGCAGCCCACAAAACUUGUCUCAGAAAAACGAUGAUCUCGGACUCAUUAACCGUUGGAUCGUCGUGAAAUUUGAGCACCACAUUCGCAACCCAAUUUCGAGCAUUCUCACCGUUAGGAAUUGCAAAAUCAUGUCUGACCUUAGAGGAAAACCCUUCGCAUUGUAGCUUUUUAUUAUCCCGCAGAAACCCAAAACUGUCUCGGUAAAACUACGAUCCCGGUUUCGUUAACCGUUGGAUUUUCAUGAAAUUUGGAUAUGUUGCUCGAAAUUCAAUUUCGCACACUCUAACCGUUGGGAUUUGCGAGAUAAUAUUCGUAGUGGGAGAAAAAGGAAUCGCAUGGAGACAGUACAAGCGGAGUCUUCAAUCUCUUCUCCGUUUCUCUGACGUUUGAGAAUUCUAUCGGAGCAGUCGGAGGAAAAACUUGAGGAAUCUCAAGGAACCGCUAUAGAUGCCGCUAUCGUUGUCGGAAGACACGUGAGUCCGCUUAGAGGUAAGGGAUGAGUUAUUCACAAUUGGGAAAUAGUGAGAACAUGUAUAGGGAUUCUUAGAGAUAUCAAUUGGAAAAGGUUUUUGAGUGUUUUUGCAAUUUCAUUUUAUCCUUAUAAUUAUUACAGUGAAUUAUAUAUGUUUGACAAACCAAUUGUUGUGAAAUUGAUAUGCUAUUAUGUUGAGCAUGAACCCUAUAAAUUGAGUACUUUUUCUAAUUAAUAUGAAUUGAUGAAAUAAAAUAAGGAGAAAUUUAGAGAGAGAUAUUGAUUUUGUAUUUUCUCUUUUUCUUGUGCAUUGAAAGCUUACUUUGAAAUUUGUGAUUCAAUAUGAUGUAUGCCAGUUUAUAGAUAUAGAGGUAGCUAUUUAUAUUAAUAAUUUAUGUAAAUAAUAUUGUAGAGUGUUGUAGUAUGAUUCCAAAAAUUAUUAAGUGUUGGAGUUUGAGAAUAUUAUGGUUAAAUUUCAUGAACAUGUGUAUGUUGUACCUUAUGAAUAUCAUUGACAAUGUUAUGAGAUGGUUGAUGUGAUGUUAUGAGAUGUUAAAGUGUGAACAUGAUAUUCGAUUGUGAAUAAGUGGAUGUGUUAACACUUGAUGUUACAUUAAUUAUAUCGUGAGCUAUGAAUUAUACAAUAACUCGACCAGUGUUUAUGCGCAGUGUUAAAGAGAAAGUGUAGGUUCCUAGUUAGGAACCAGUGUUAAAUUGUAGCGCAAUUGUGUUAAACAUGUUUGAAACAUGAGUGUGAGGUCGUGGUAUUGUAUAAUUCAUGAGCAGUGCUUAUAAAUGAAAUAUGUGAUGAAUUGUGGAAUGAUAUGUUGCCUUGAGAUUAUAAUAUUGUUAUUGAGAUUGAGUAAAAGUGUAAAGUAGAACAGGUGUUGAAUUGUGAGAUAUGUGAAAACAUGUGAUGGUGGAUUGUAACAUUAUGAGAUGUGAAAUUGUGAAUGAGUUUUGGUUGUGAAUAAGUGUGUGAUUAACUCUUGAUGUGACAUUAUUUGUGUUGUAAGCUGUGAAUUGUACAAUAACCCGACCAGUGUUAUCUUGAGAAAAGUGUAAAUGCGCAGUGUUAAAGAGAAAUUGUAGGUUUCCUAUUUAGGAACCAGUGUUAAAGAGAAAGUGUAGGUUCCUAUUUAGGAACCAGUGUUAAAUUGUAGCGCAAUAUGUUGUACGUGCUUAAGACACGAGUGUGAGGUCGUGGGUAUUGUAUAAUUCACUAGCAGUGUCUGUGUGUUAAAAUGAUUUUAGGGGUUGGACCUGAAUCAGGAGGGAGAGGCCCUGACGGACUCUUCGGAGUGUAGGCCUUGGGGGUCACCGGGUUUGAGUGCUCCUUUAAGCCUAUGCUGAUCCCAUAUGGUUGGAGCAUUCUCGCAAAACAUCGUGACCCUGACUGGUCUCCCUAUGAUCUUACUUAGUGAGAGUGACCUGGCAAACCCAUUAUGUGGUGUGUCUUGUUAUGUACUCCUAAGCGCCCCAGGGUGGUUUUUCACUGACAUGGUACCACAUUGCAUAUAGGCUUGAGUCUUAGCAUAACUGUCUCAUGCGCUUGCUAAUUGUUUAUUAUGAAAUUGAUGUGUUAUUAUAUCUUGAUCAGAGAAUGUGAUUUUUGUGUAAUGUGAUUGAUGAUUGAAAAGUGUGAUUGAUGGAUGAAAAGUGAACUUUGAAUGACAAAGUGGUGGAAUUACGUGAAUUACGUGUAAGUAAAUUUUAUUUAGUGAUAUGUAUAUCUAGUUGUCUUGUUUCUCUAUUAGUUAGGAAUGUGAUAACUCACUCCCCCUGUGUUGUUUGUAUUUGGAUCAUGUGAUGAUCUUGAACUUUGUGUUCGGGGGAGCAGACGACUAGGUGAAUUGCUUUAAGGAACAUUAUGCUGAAGGACGUCGAGACACAACGCUCUGAUAGAAUGUGACAGUGGGACAUAAGUUUUUAUAUUAGUGGCAUGAUGUUAGUCUAUUUUAUUUUAUUUCACUGAUUUAAUAAAAUAUCUCUGUAAAUUUUGAUGGCCUUAUUUUGAGCCAAAUAUGUUUCAAUAAGUUUUAAUUGAUAAUAGUGAAGUGAAUGUGAACCUUUUACCCGUGUGAAUUUGGUUACCAAUAUUUUUAUAUAUUUUGUUUAUUUAUAUAUAUGUCGGGGUAGAGGGUGUCACACACUUCAUCUAGGCAUUAGAGUUGAUGGUCGUGUUGUGGCUGGACCUAGCUUCUUACAUUGGGAUGAGUUAUGCCACGAGUUACUAGGGGAAGUCCCUCCCGAAAAUGCACGUAAAGGAGCCGCACUGAAGCUAACAUGGUUGCUAAACAUGUUGCGCACACCAUUGCCUGAAGAACCAACAACGCACCAACUACAAUGCAGGUGUAGAGCUUACAUAAUGUACAUGAUUGGCGGUGCUUUAAUUCCUGAUAAAUCUGGAAAUAGAGUUCAUUUAAUGUAUUUGAACCUAUUACGUGAUUUGAACAACACAAAAAAAUAUAGUUGGGGUUCGGCUUGCUUAGCAAACCUGUAUAGAGAACUAUGUCGAGUAUCAUCGGAGGUUGGUAAAUCUAUGGGUGGUUGUGUCAUACUAUUGCAGUCAUGGGCUUGGUACCACAUGCCUUUUAUUGCACCAAGAGUCCCACGACCGGAAACAACUUUUCCACUGGCUAAAAGGUUAUUUACAUAUAGCGAAAUGUAAAUUUUUUUAUUUCAAUGACGUGUAUUAUAACAUUACAAUGAAUACUGAUUAUGUAUGUUUUACAUUUUAGAUGGAGUGGUGGUAGAUUAGAAUAUAGGGCCACACCGCAUGGUGACUUAGUCAGAUAUAGGUCUCGUAUAGAUCAUGUGGAGAGCCAUGAGGUAUGAUACUAUCAUGAUCUGCACCUUAAAUAUAAACAUACAUACUAACAUGUUGCCUUGUUGGCAUAUAUUUUAGUUUUCUUGGAUCCCAUAUAGAGGAUUUGAAGAACACCUACCCAGACGUGCAUAUAGAGACAUGGAGAUUUGGUCUGCAUGUACUGCAAUUAUUUGUUUCUCGAUUGUCGAAUGACAUCAAACAAAUCGAGUGAAGCUACAGUUUGGACUACAACAAGAUAUCCCUGUUGAUCCCAUGAAUCUUGAUUUACUUCACCAAAUUGACAUGCGAGGCAAUCAUUACACUGAUUGGAUGGAAUAUCAUGCGGAGUGGAUUAAUAUCUGGAAAAACAAACACAACGAUAUUUUAGCUGGGCAAUGGGUUGAAGGAAUAGUGACACAUACACCAGCGUACAUGGAAUGGUAUAGAAAAAACACUACUUUGUUCUUGUCUGUUGAACAACAACUACAUGAUCCGCUCACAACAAUUACACAAAAUGUUGCAAGGUCAGGUGUUGAACAAACACAUUUUGAAAUUCUACAUCCUUAGUCAAUGUAUUCUACUCCUUCACCUGUUCAUCAAACUUUUGGCCACACUGGCGAGUCAGUCACCGCAACCACCCAUGAAUGGAUGAACGAUUUAUUUGGCGUCGAUUUCAAUACACCAAAUUCAGCGGCAUCAUAUUUAGCUACUUUACAACAGUUCGAUGCACCGCAUUCGUUUGGAGAACAAGGUCAAAGUUCUUCAGCUGCAACAACCAACAUUGAAAAUACUAACAUAGAACAACAACAUGAUCAUGACGUGGAAGAACCAGUCAUACUGGAAAGAAGAAAUCCUCGACGUAAUCGGCGUCCACCACCUUGUGGGACUGGUCAUCGUCUUGGUCAUUGAAGUAUAAAAUGUUGUGAUAAUGGGAUCAAAUAUGUGUAAGUACCCCUGUAACGGCAUCAUCAAAUAUGAUUUGGACCCUUGCAAUUAUGCUUAAGAGCCCAUGUUCUGCAUUUUUUUAAAAUUAUGUCCAACACAUUAAUGAUGUUUGUGACUCAUUUUUUCUAUAGUUUGAACGUCAGAGAAUCCAAAAAAAAUUAUUUAGUGCACCAGUUCCAUCGACUAACACCUCAAAAUACAAGUACAAAAUAAAAAAAAAAACUAUGAUUUGGACCCUUCCAACUAUGCUUAAGAGCCCAUGUUCUGCAUUUUUUUAAAAUUAUGUCCAACACAUUAAUGAUGUUUGUGACUCAUUUUUUCUAUAUUUUGAACGUCAAAGAAUCCAAAAAAAAUUAUUUCGUGCACCAGUUCCAUCGACUAACACCUCAAAAUACAAGUACAAAAUCAAAAAAACUAUGAUUUGGACCCUUGCAACUAUGCUUAAGAGCCCAUGUUCUGCAUUUUUUUAAAAUUAUGUUCAACACAUUAAUGAUGUUUGUGACUCAUUUUUUCUAUAGUUUGAACGUCAAAGAAUCCAAAAAAAAUUAUUUUGUGCACCAGUUCCAUCGACUAACACCUCAAAAUACAAGUACAAAAUAAAAAAAACUAUGAUUUGGACCCUUGCAACUAUGCUUAAGAGCCCAUGUUCUGCAUUUUUUUAAAAUUAUGUCCAACACAUUAAUGAUGUUUGUGACUCAUUUUUUCUAUAGUUUGAAUGUCAAAGAAUCUAAAAAAAAUUAUUUUGUGCACCAGUUCCAUCGACUAACACCUCAAAAUACAAGUACAAAAUCAAAAAAACUAUGAUUUGGACCCUUGCAACUAUGCUUAAGAGCCCAUGUUCUGCAUUUCUUUAAAAUUAUGUCCAACACAUUAAUGAUGUGUGUGCCUCAUAUUUUCUAUAGUUUGAACGUCAGAGAAUCCAAAAAAAAUUAUUUCGUGCACCAGUUCCAUCGACUAACACCUCAAAAUACAAGUACUAAAUCAAAAAAAAACUAUGAUUUGAACACUUUUUCCAUAAUAAUAACGUCAAAAACUUCAAAAAAAAAUAAUAUUCGUGACACACUGCAAUUUUCACAAAUCAAUUUUUUUUUACUCUGAAAUUAUAAUGGACUUCUGCUGCAUCAAUUAUCAGGGAUAAAUCACAGUCGAAAUUGACAACACUCGACAAUUUCUAUAGGUCUCUAAAAAAAUAUCUCACCAGUAAAACUUACAUGACAUGCACUACUCAAUUUUUUUUCACUCUGCUAAUUAUAAUGGACUUAUACUCCAUCAAUUACCAGAGAUAAAUCACAGUUAAAAUUGACAACACUCAGCAAUUUACACACGUCUCUAAAAAAAUAAAUGUCGCACUAGUAAAACAGACAUGACAUGGACAACUCAAUUUUUUUCACUCUGAUAAUUAUAAUGGACUUCUGUUCCAUCAAUUACCAGGGAUAAAUCACAGAUGAAAUUGACAACACUCGGCAAUUUUCACACAUCUCUAAAAAAAUUAAUGUCGCACCAGUAAAACUGACAUGACGUGGACAACUCAGUUUUUUUUCACUCAGUUGUUUUUUUCACUCAACAAUUUGCACAUUAUGGACCCUUGUAAAUAUGCUUAAGUGUUCAUUUACUCGUUCAUCUAAAUGCACAGUUAACUAGUGACUCACUCAAUUAUAACCAAAUUCUAUAAAUACCACUACAGCUAAAGACAUUCGUAACAAUUUCAAAUUUUCAUCUCAAUCCCUACCACAAUAUGUCACCUAACUGCAUAUGUUUGUGUUUACUACGACGGCCAAAUUUGCAAUACUAAUGAGGGCACCACCUUCGUUAGUAACAACACAAAAACUUUCAUGGUCGACAAGGUCAUAACCUUUACACAAUUGCUUGAACUUGUUCACCAAAAACUAAACAUUGACCCAAAACAACAUAUCCAACAUCUCCAUUUUCGGUGCCCUAUAUUUGAGUCAGGACAACGUUAUAUGUACACAUCUUUUAUUCUGCGAGAUGAUGCUGAUGUUCGACAAAUGUUCAACAUUUUUUACAAUAACCCAUCACUACCAUUUGUGGAGUUAUUUGCCAUAAUCUGUCACAAUAAUGACCCACCAGGCAACCAACAUGGCUCAACCUCUAAUCUUGAGGACUUAGGUGAAUACGAGACUUGUUGGCUCAAAAACCAUGAUAGUGAUACGGGCUCCUCUUCCGGGCCCGAAGGAAGUAACCUGUCUCCAUCCCACGAACCUAUAUUUCUUCUUUGAGAUUUUCAUGUAAUGUCUUAUGUCUGUCUUCAGUUAUCACUUUACGUAUUGAAAUAAUUUUUCCUUUAAAUUUAAAUUAGCAAUUUUCAGUUUACCCACUUUUACUGCAGUAGUUGACAUGGUAACAUAACUGUCAAAAUUCACAAUACUUUGUCAUUUACACUACACUGUUUUUAAAAAUUCAAUGUCUCAUCGACAAAACUGACAUGAAAUGGACAACUCAUAAUCUCUUUAUUCACUCUAAAAAUAACUAUGGACGUUUGCUGCUUUAAUUACAAGGAAAAAAUCACAAUCCAAAUUGACAAUACUCUGCAAUUUGCAUACGUCUCUAAGAAUUAAAUGUCUCACCUGCAAAACUGUCAUGAAAUGGACAACUCAUAAUCUCUUUAUUCACUCUGAAAAUAACUAUGGACGUUUGCUGCUUUAAUUACAAGGGAAAAAUCACAAUCCAAAUUGACAAUACUCUGCAAUUUGCAAACGUCUCUAAAAAUUAAAUGUCUCACCUGCAAAACUGUCAUGAAAUGGACAGCCCGUCAUCUCUUUAUUCACUCUGAAAUUCAUCAUGAACGUCUGUUGCUUUAAUUACAUGGGAAAAAUCACAGUCCAAAAUAACAACACUCUGCAUUAUGAGCUGUCCAUUUCAUGUCAGUUUUACAAGUGAUACAUUUAAUUUUUAGAGACGUGUGCAAAACUGACAUGAGAUGGACAACUCAUAAUCUCUUUGUUCACUCUGAAAUUAUAAUGGACGUCUGCUACAUCACUUACUAGGGAAAAAGAAACAUUGGAUUCCAAUACACAUCAACGUGACAGAAUACUCAUACAACUAUAAAUAACACAACACAGACACAAUACAAACACACAAUCUCACACAACAUAAUUUCACAAACCAAAUUCAAUCUUAUUACUAUGUCAUUUUGGGAGAAACAAGCAGUCAGACCAUUACUAACUCCAGAUUAGCUUUCAUUUUUCCAAAUGGAUCAAUCAGUUACAACCAAACUGGUGUUUAUUUUCAAAGUCUUAUUCCAACACCAAUGCGAGUUCCUAACAACUGUUCUUUUGAUACACUCAAGCGUAGAAUGCACAACACCCUUCAACUAACCAACGAUCAAUUACUGGAUGAAAUCUACUACCGACAGCCAUUCAUAGAUGCAGGUCAACAAUAUUUUUUUCAAUCUUUACAAUUGAAAAAUGAUGAUGAUGUUUACACAAUGUUAAUGUGCAAUGACCAAUACUCGUGUGUUGGCCCUAUAGAAUUAUUAUGUACCAUUAUUAGAACACCGGAUGCUAUACUCAAUCUGCUUCAAUCAAUCAUCACUCCUACUCAUGAUGCAAUUAUGUAUUACAACGGGAAGUGGAACAUACCACGUCAAGGUGAGUUUUUGGGUUACUCCUUUACUGGAACUAAUCCAAUAAGAUUUGACAUUCCUUCGGGAUGUGGCAUGGAGAAACUCAAGGAUUUAAUCAAACAAGUUGCACCUACAGGGGUUCCCCCUAAUGGAAUUCACGGAUCACAAUUGGUUAGACGAUUAUUCUUUCGACAACCAGGUCAUUCUAAGUAUUCCGAAAAUUUGAUUGAAUAUGACAUAACAGAAUUGAAAAAUGAUGAAGACGUGCUAAAAGUGUUAGCACAAUCCAACUAUUGGAAACGAUUCUGCACAAUAGAAAUUUUGGCUAUUUUUAGCAAACCAGUAAUCUAAAUAGAAGAAGACAUGUAUUCUGCACAACAUAUCUCAUAUCCUCAUUAGUUUUGUUAUGUUUGCAUUGUAAGUGUAAUUUUUAAUAUGUUUCAUUAUUGUCGAGUAUCAUUUCAAUGACUGUAAUUUGAGUAUUUUGUCUAUGACUGAUUUGUCAUAUAUUUUUUUGUGGUGUUUUUUUACUGUAUUUUAAUACUACUAACUAAUUUUAUUAUUUUUUAAUUACAAGAACAUACAAAAAUUAACAAAACAUAAAUUUAACUACACAAUUACAUAUAACAUAAAUAAAAAAUUAUACUCUAAUUUUAUCCAAUUUUAUAUUUUUCUUUAUAUGUAUAUUUCUCUUUACAAAAAAUUAUAAAAUAAUAUUACAUAAAUUAAUUCAAUAAAUAAAUAAUUUUCAAAUCAAUUAAAAAUAAUUUUAUAUAAUAUAAUUAAAUUAAAAAUUUUAAAAUUCAGAUUAUUAUACAAAAUAAAUAUUUACUAAAAUAAAUAUAUUAUUAUACAAAAUUCAGAUUUUAAAACAUAUAUUCACCAAAAAAUAUCUUAAAUAAUUUAAAUAAUAUAACAAAAACACUUAAAUUUAAUAAUAUCAUUUUCUUAAUAACAAAAUUAAAUUAUAAAAUAAUAUUACAUAAAUUAAUUUAAUAAAUAAAUAAUUUUCAAAUUAUUUAAAAAUAAUUUUAUAUAAUAUAAUAUUUAAUUUUAACAAUAUAAAAACUUUUUUAUAUAAAAAAAAUAGAAGAACGGAAGUCGGGGUGUGAAAACCAGACUCCCGUGAAGUGGUCAAAACAGGUGUACUUUGGGAAUAAAAGGUCAAAGUAGUGUAUUUUAGGAAAAGAAUGGAGAGAGAAUAUGUAAUUUGGUAAAAAAACCCAUCUUCUUGCCUAUAAAUAGACCCAAAUAAUGUGAGGUUCCAUACUCCAAAAUCCACAUCUAGCAGCAAAUUAUGGAAUCCCAUGAUGAAGAGCAUGCUGCCAAACUACUUAGAGCUCAAACCCACAUAUGGAAUCACAUAUUUAGCUUCAUAAACUCCAUGUCCCUUAAAUGUGUGGUUGACUUAGGCAUACCAGAUAUCAUACACAACUAUGGCCAACCCAUGCCACUCUCAAACCUCAUUGCUUCACUACCAAUCCACCCAUCCAAAACUUGCUUCGUCCAUCGCUUGAUGCGAAUCAUGAUCCAUUCUGGCUUCUUCUCUUUACAAAAUCAUGACUUGGAGAAUGAGCUAGAAGCCAAGUAUGUGCUAACCGAUGCAUCUGUACUACUGCUUAAGAACCAUCCGAUGAGUGUGACACCUUUCUUGCAUGCCAUNNNNNNNNNNNNNNNNNNNNNNNNNNNNNNNNNNNNNNNNNNNNNNNNNNNNNNNNNNNNNNNNNNNNNNNNNNNNNNNNNNNNNNNNNNNNNNNNNNNNNNNNNNNNNNNNNNNNNNNNNNNNNNNNNUCACUUGUUCAAUGAUGCCAUGGCAAGUGAUGCUCGAUUUGUCACUAGUUUGGUGAUUGAGAAAUGUAAGGGAGUGUUCAUGGGAUGGAGUCAUUGGUUGAUGUUGGGGGAGGCACAGGGACCAUGGCAAAAGCCAUUGCUAAAUCAUUCCCUCGGGUGGAAUGCAUUGUGUUUGAUCUACCACAUGUUGUUUCUGGCUUGAAAGGAAGUGAGAACCUUAAAUAUGUUGCAGGGGACAUGUUUGAGGCAAUUCCUCCAGCUGAUGCCAUUUUGUUAAAGGUAAAUCACUAUUCACAUUCAGAAUACAAUUUUACAUUCAUACCAUUAACACCCAGUUUUUAUACUUGAGUGAUGUCAAAUUUUAAAGAAUUAAAGCAAAUAAUUGAUCGAUUGGAAAAAAAAAUGAACGAUUUUAUGAUCAUUGAUCACUUGAAAUAACUUCAAAUAUAUAUAUGUAUAUUGUUCACUAAGCUAGUAAGCUAGCACCAGCUAGUAGUCCAACUACAUAUCUGCCACUAUCAUACCAAAUCAGACCAACUAAGUGGUCUAUAUGGCUUGUAAUAAUUAGUACUAGUUUACUAAGUGGGUACGUAAAGUAACUAGCAUAUGAUUAUUUGAAAAGUAAAUCUCUGCUCAUAUUCUAGAAAAAAUAGUUAUAGAUCUCUUCAAAUUUGACUUUUCUUUUUUCUGAAGUAUUGACUAUAUGUUGCGGUUAAAAACAUUACAUGAUGUGCCAAUUCAUUCUACCAAGCUUAAUAUGAAUGCAAGUCAAUAUUUUAUGAUUCUGAUCGGUGUGUUACUUUGAAUGACAAAGCAGUGGAUAUUGCAUGACUGGAAUGAUGAGGAGUGUGUGGACAUAUUGAAGAAAUGCAAAGAGGCCAUAACGAGGAAAGGCAAAGAAGGGAAGGUGAUCAUCAUAGACAUGGUGGUGGAGAAUGAGAAGAGAGAUGAUGAAUCAGUUGAAACACAGCUCUUCUUUGAUAUGCUGAUGAUGGUGUUGGUCACUGGAAAAGAGAGAAGCAAGAAAGAAUGGGCUAAGUUGAUUUCCUCUGCUGGUUAUAACAACUACAAGAUAACUCCAGUCUUGGGCUUAAGGUCUCUCAUUGAGAUCUAUCCAUAGUAAGUUAAUGAGAUGUGCCAGCACUCUAUCAUUCAUAUAUGUUAGGGCUAUAAUUUUUCUGUUUCGAUUCAUGAGUGAAUGUUGGAUAAGUAACAAUAGCAAUAGACUGAACUCUCUUCAUCAUAGUUGUGUUGUUGGAACAGUACUGUCAAGAAAGGAAAAAAAAAAAAUCUGAGGAUAAGUAUAGUUUGCGUGGUAUAUAUAGCAGGUGAAGAAAAAAAGGAACAUGUGGUUAAAGAGCACAGUGAGUUUGGCAAUUACUUUUUUUUUUGGUAACUGAAUUUGCCUUGUAUUAGAUUUGUGAAGAACUAAGUUUGUGAGAGUUGUUAUUGAAUAAGAUUGUUUCUAAAGGUUUGAUAAAGGUAUAAUGGUUUAUCUAAAUACAUUUC